RNAcentral lists this ribosomal RNA (253 nucleotides) under uncultured bacterium. RNAcentral's name for it is "partial 16S ribosomal RNA". It matches the Rfam family "Bacterial small subunit ribosomal RNA", at positions 524 to 776 of the family's 1533-position model. The record is from RNAcentral.
UACGAAGGGGGCUAGCGUUGUUCGGAAUUACUGGGCGUAAAGCGUGCGCAGGCGGCUUCUCAAGUCAGGAGUGAAAGCCCAGAGCUCAACUCUGGAAUUGCCUUUGAGACUGAGUGGCUUGAGUACGGGAGAGGUGAGUGGAAUUCCCAGUGUAGAGGUGAAAUUCGUAGAUAUUGGGAAGAACACCGGUGGCGAAGGCGGCUCACUGGCCCGUAACUGACGCUCAUGCACGACAGCGUGGGGAGCAAACAGG